This is an unclassified non-coding RNA of Chelonoidis abingdonii (Abingdon island giant tortoise), 183 nucleotides long. The record is from Ensembl. NCBI's taxonomy places the organism in Eukaryota, Metazoa, Chordata, Testudines, Testudinidae.
UUGAUUUGCAGCUUUUUCUUAUUCCUCAAUAUUUGGUCCACUUAGAACCAGUACAGUGCAGGCAGAGGAAAUGCUGGUUUUCCCAUACUACCCUGCCAAAUGUGCCUGAACCCUGAUGUGGAGGGACCACCUUUAGGGUAAGAGGAUAGCUCAGUCUCCAUUCCUUGUCAUUCCUUGGUCUCU